CCUACGGGUGGCAGCAGUGAGGAAUAUUGGUCAAUGGACGCAAGUCUGAACCAGCCAUGCCGCGUGCAGGAAGACGGCUCUAUGAGUUGUAAACUGCUUUUGUACGAGGGUAAACGCAGAUACGCGUAUCUUUCUGAAAGUAUCGUACGAAUAAGGAUCGGCUAACUCCGUGCCAGCAGCCGCGGUAAGAUGGAGGAUUCAAGCGUUAUCCGGAUUUAUUGGGUUUAAAGGGUGCGUAGGCGGUCGGAUAAGUUAGAGGUGAAAUCCCGAGGCUCAACUUCGGAAUUGCAUCUGAUACUGUUCGGCUAGAGAGUAGUUGCGGUAGGCGGAAUGUAUGGUGUAGCGGUGAAAUGCUUAGAGAUCAUACAGAACACCGAUUGCGAAGGCAGCUUACCAAGCUACUUCUGACGUUGAGGCACGAAAGCGUGGGGAGCAAACAGGAUUAGAUACCCGUGUAGUC
RNAcentral lists this ribosomal RNA (460 nucleotides) under uncultured bacterium. RNAcentral's name for it is "partial 16S ribosomal RNA". It matches the Rfam family "Bacterial small subunit ribosomal RNA", at positions 338 to 795 of the family's 1533-position model. The record is from RNAcentral.